Molecule: transfer RNA, 70 nt
Filed under: Opistholeptus burmanus
Lineage: Eukaryota; Metazoa; Arthropoda; Insecta; Hemiptera; Pachygronthidae
Description: tRNA-Val
Source: RNAcentral
CAAGUUAUAUUAUAGUAAUAUGAAUUAUUUACAAUAAUUUCAUUGGUUUGUGCAAUUCAUCCUAACUUGA